RNAcentral lists this ribosomal RNA (440 nucleotides) under uncultured bacterium. RNAcentral describes it as "partial 16S ribosomal RNA". It matches the Rfam family "Bacterial small subunit ribosomal RNA", at positions 338 to 795 of the family's 1533-position model. The record is from RNAcentral.
CCUACGGGAGGCUGCAGUGGGGAAUAUUGGACAAUGGGGGAAACCCUGAUCCAGCGACGCCGCGUGAGUGAAGAAGUAUUUCGGUACGUAAAGCUCUAUCAGCAGGGAAGAAAAUGACGGUACCUGACUAAGAAGCCCCGGCUAACUACGUGCCAGCAGCCGCGGUAAUACGUAGGGGGCAAGCGUUAUCCGGAUUUACUGGGUGGAAAGGGAGCGUAGACGGCAGCGCAAGUCUGGAGUGAAAUGCCGGGGCCCAACCCCGGAACUGCUCUGGAAACUGUGAAGCUGGAGUGCAGGAGAGGUAAGCGGAAUUCCUGGUGUAGCGGUGAAAUGCGUAGAUAUCAGGAGGAACACCGGCGGCGAAGGCGGCUUACUGGACUGUAACUGACGUUGAGGCUCGAAGGCGUGGGGAGCAAACAGGAUUAGAUACCCGUGUAGUC